Molecule: long non-coding RNA, 2104 nt
Filed under: Mus musculus (house mouse)
Lineage: Eukaryota; Metazoa; Chordata; Mammalia; Rodentia; Muridae
Description: RIKEN cDNA A230072C01 gene
Source: RNAcentral
GAGUGAAUCCUUGGAGGUAGCAGGAUCCUAUGGAUCUAGAUGGGCCUGGCACGCCGCGGUCUGCCAGCAGGCGGAUCGUCGCGAGCUGGCGGGAGACUGGUUUGGGUGACGUUCAAUGAGAUUUGGCGGGUUCUGAGGGAGGGUGGACUUACAGGAAGGUAGGGAGAGGGAGUUAAGUGUUUAUAAUUAGUAAUUUGAAGUGUGUGUGUGUGUGCGCGCGCGCGUUGGUACUGAACUUAUAGGCAGUUGUGAGCUACCAUGAUGUGGGUGCUGAUAAUGGAGUUUACAUUCUCUGCAAGUUUUAUGUGUUUUUAACUGAUGAGCCAUUUCUGUAUUCCCCCCUCCUUACUCUUACAUUUGUUUUCCUAUUUUAUGUGUUUUGUCUGCAUGUUUAUGGACUACAUGCGUGCAUUGCCCACAAAGGCCAGAAGAAGUUGUGGGAUUCCCUGGAACUGGAGCAACCAACAGUUUGUGUGCACCAUGUGGGUAAUGGGAAUCGAACCUGGGUCCUCUAUAAGACUGGCCAGUGCUCUUAACUACUGAGGUGCAUUUCUUUCGGAAUUGAUUCACAUAACUAUUAUGCUAUACUGUUUGAAGUAUUUAUUAGAAAAACAUCAGAAAGAGGCUUCAUAUGGUCUGUGAAUUGAAUCUUGGGUAUUCCGAACUUUUGGGCUAAUAUCCACUUAUCAGUGAAUUUGGACCACUUUCAUUUACAUGAAGAAAUAUCUUAGGGUUUCUUUUCAGGUAUCUUUGAGUAUCUUCUGACACUAGAAGAUCCUGUAAACUCUACAGACUUCAACAGAAUUGAAGAACCUGGACAGAGCAGAGUUACCAACAAGAGAGCCCAGGGAUAGCAUUAACAUGGUGGUUACUCAAGACCUAACUCAGCCAGGGAGACAUACCAAGGCCUAUGAGGUGAAGGGAAAAGAAGGGUGACCCAAAGGGCAGGAAUUUUUUAUCCUGAACUUUUGAGCCUUAUAGAAAAACAUAAUUUGUUGGGCAUGUUUUCUGACCCUCAUACAGUUUUUACAACCAUUUGAAGAUAUAGUUCUAGCUCUAGUAGGCUCUACAGGAAGGUAUAUCAAACUUUUUAACAGAACACUUUAUUAUUUUAAAUAUAUGAGUAUUUCACCUGCAUAGGCGCACAGUACCCACAGAGACUAGAAGAGGGUGGCAGAUCUCCUGAGACUGGAGUUAAUGCUUGUGAGCUGCCAUGUGGAUGCUGGAAAUCAAACCCAGGUCCUUUGGAAGGCAGGCAGGUGCUCUUAAUCAUGGAAGCAUCUCUUCAGCUCCUACCCUAGUUCUUUAAUUUUGUUUUAAAUUUUUGAGGUAGGGUUUUGCUAAGUUACUUGGGCUGGCCUUGGACUAGUAACCAUUCUGUGUCAGCCUUCUGGGAUUAGAGGUAUGUGCUAGCAUGUCUAGCAUCUUUCUAUUUCUUUGGUUUUCCUUCUAAUUAAUUAAAAAAUACAUUAUCUUCUAAAUCUUUUAUUGUACAUCAUGAAUGCUAUUUCAGUUUUUGUUUAAAUAAGCUUAAAUGUAAACAUCACUAUAAGUACACCACUAUUUCUAUUGUGCAGUUUCAGUGAUACAAUAUCUUAUCACUUACAGAGUAUUAGUAAUAGUUUAAUUUAAAAAAAAUCAUUUAUUGUUGUUUUUUGUCUCACCCCCCUCCCCUCCCCCAAUCUCUGGAGCUGAGGACCAAACCCAGGGCCUUGUGCUUGCUAAGCAAAUGCUCUACCGCUGAGCUAAAUCUCCAACCCCUAGUUUAAUUUUGUUUUAGAAAGACUCUUACUUAAUGUACUUGCUGUGUGUGAUGGUUUGUAUAUUCUUGGACCAGGGAGUGGCAACAUUUGGAGGUGUGGCCUUGUUGGAAUAGGUGUGACCUGGUUGGAGUAGGUGUGUCACUGUGGGUGUGGGUAUGAGACCCUCACCCUAGUUGCCUGGAAGUCAGUCUUCCACUAGCAGCCUUUGGAUGAAGACAUAGAACUCUCAGCUCUUCCUGUGCCAUGCCUGCCUGGAUACUGCCAUGCUCCCACCGUGAUGGUAAUGGACUGAACCUCUGAACCUGUAAGCCAGCCCCAAUUAAAUGUUGUUUUUUAUAAGA